ACACCUUUGUCAGAUGGGUAAACUGCAAAAUUCUGUAGGUUGCCUGUGCACUCUGAUGCUAGUCUCUUUUGUUGUGUAAAAGCUCAUUAGUUUAAUUAAAGCCCAUUUGUCAAUUUUGACUUUUGUUGCAAUUUUUUUUCUCUUUUUAAUGAAAUAU
Sapajus apella (tufted capuchin) is the source of this 157-nucleotide long non-coding RNA. RefSeq lists it as uncharacterized. Lineage: Eukaryota; Metazoa; Chordata; Mammalia; Primates; Cebidae. The record is from RefSeq and is a predicted model, not a curated record. The transcript is spliced from 3 exons.